Molecule: ribosomal RNA, 568 nt
Filed under: uncultured bacterium
Lineage: Bacteria
Description: bacterial SSU rRNA
Rfam family: Bacterial small subunit ribosomal RNA
Source: RNAcentral
GUGGAGCAUGUGGUUUAAUUCGACGCAACGCGAAGAACCUUACCUACUCUUGACAUCCAGAGAAUUCGCUAGAGAUAGCUUAGUGCCUUCGGGAACUCUGAGACAGGUGCUGCAUGGCUGUCGUCAGCUCGUGUUGUGAAAUGUUGGGUUAAGUCCCGUAACGAGCGCAACCCUUAUCCUUAUUUGCCAGCACUUCGGGUGGGAACUUUAAGGAGACUGCCGGUGACAAACCGGAGGAAGGUGGGGACGACGUCAAGUCAUCAUGGCCCUUACGAGUAGGGCUACACACGUGCUACAAUGGCGUAUACAGAGGGCUGCGAACUAGCGAUAGUAAGCGAAUCCCAGAAAGUACGUCGUAGUCCGGAUUGGAGUCUGCAACUCGACUCCAUGAAGUCGGAAUCGCUAGUAAUCGUGAAUCAGAAUGUCACGGUGAAUACGUUCCCGGGCCUUGUACACACCGCCCGUCACACCAUGGGAGUUGAUUGCUCCAGAAGUAGCUAGCUUAACCCUUCGGGGAUGGCGGUUACCACGGAGUGGUCAAUGACUGGGGUGAAGUCGUAACGAGGUA